AACGUUGGAUGCUAAGAAAACAUGCGCGAAGUAGAAUGGAAAGUCAUUUCCCAGAAACUUGGAUGCAACUCAUGUGACUUAAACGCAACUGGAAAAACCAGUAGACCAAUCUCACUGCACACCAUUGCAAAAAAUCCCCCAAAAUUCGGUGAUAUAACCACCUUCCCAGAACUGUCUUAUACGACUGCGUUCCCAAACGCCAUGAAACCGAACGCAAGUGUUCCUGUGCGAUGUGUGUGGAGCGACGGCGAUUAAAGGAAGGAGGUUUCUAUGUCACAGCCAUCAGGAAAGUUACCACAUUAACUGAUGUCGACACCUUUUUCGCAAAGCGUUACCAAACGUACCGACCCCAAUCUUCGGACAUUAAUUGAGCCACGCUUCCUUGAACCAUUGAGCCACGGCAGAAUGGGUAAAUCAUCACUGAACACUUACACAAGCUAUCAAAUGACUUCAGAAGACUUGGAUUAUAGUGCAUGAGCCAUAUGGACAACUCAAACUAUCCGGUUACUACAAUAUUUUCAGGUCCAUUUAACAACCCAACAAAGCAGCUAAGUGAUUUCCCCCGAACGAUGCGUAUGACGGACAGGAGGAGUAUGGGAAUGAAACGGGGUGAGAAUUCAGGGCACACAGAAGCCAUUCUUCAGCCUUUGCUGUGAGUCAGCAGAAAUCUGAGCCGGCAACGAGUCUGACCCAAUUUUACCACACCAGAACCACCGAGAACAAUACACCGCGGUGAUGAAUUAAAACCCAUUCAGCAUUCUUCAACUGGCACGCAGCAGAUGAAACGUCAAAUGAGUGGAACAAAGCCAUCUUCA
Molecule: long non-coding RNA, 815 nt
Organism: Puntigrus tetrazona (Sumatra barb)
Lineage: Eukaryota; Metazoa; Chordata; Actinopteri; Cypriniformes; Cyprinidae
Exons: 3
Source: RefSeq, a predicted model, not a curated record